Molecule: long non-coding RNA, 400 nt
Organism: Oryzias melastigma (Indian medaka)
Lineage: Eukaryota; Metazoa; Chordata; Actinopteri; Beloniformes; Adrianichthyidae
Exons: 3
Source: RefSeq, a predicted model, not a curated record
UCUCGGCAUGGCCCUGCUCCUCAGCUGCCUCACAGCCACGGACUCGGUUCUACCUGCUCACUGUGUCCUCCAGCUCCGGAAGGACAAAGGAACGCCGCUCACCUCCCCAUGUUUCCAGCACUUGGAUCCUUCUGGCCUCGUGAAACCAUGACAACGACUUCAACAUGGACGGAGAUUCAGUUUCUGGACAGAAGAGGCAUUGCUGCUUCUGCAGGAACUCUGCAGCUGAUCUUCAGGUUCCAGAGACGACCACCUCCACACCUGAAGUCCAAUCAGACAGGAAGUGUCGACAACAGGAAGAGAGGAGCAGUGAAGACAUGGGAUUCAGAGGAGACCCCCCCCCCCACACACACACACACUACUGCUGUCACUGUUGUCUAAAUAAACUGUUAAUAAUUUA